UACGGAGGAUCCGAGCGUUAUCCGGAUUUAUUGGGUUUAAAGGGAGCGUAGGUGGAUUGUUAAGUCAGUUGUGAAAGUUUGCGGCUCAACCGUAAAAUUGCAGUUGAAACUGGCAGUCUUGAGUACAGUAGAGGUGGGCGGAAUUCGUGGUGUAGCGGUGAAAUGCGUAGAUAUAUGGAAGAACACCAGUGGCGAAAGCGGCUCUCUGGUCUGUAACUGACGCUGAGGUUCGAAAGCGUGGGUAGCAAACAGG
RNAcentral lists this ribosomal RNA (253 nucleotides) under uncultured Bacteroides sp. RNAcentral describes it as "partial 16S ribosomal RNA". It matches the Rfam family "Bacterial small subunit ribosomal RNA", at positions 524 to 776 of the family's 1533-position model. The record is from RNAcentral. Lineage: Bacteria; Pseudomonadati; Bacteroidota; Bacteroidia; Bacteroidales; Bacteroidaceae.